AAGAAAACGUUGACAAGAGCUAGUAACAAUUCUUUUGUUUCAAAGAGAGCAGACGGUUGGUGCAAGUCUGUAACAAUAAAUUGUGAAUCCGUCUUGGAGUGAAUGGUGGAACGCGUAAAGCAAGUAAAUCAUUCCGGUGCGAGCCGUUAAUCUCAAAAUGAAGCUGGAGACUUUUUGUCUCAAUUAGGGUGGCAACGCGGAUAUAACUUCCGUCCCUUCU
This 220-nucleotide non-coding RNA is filed under the name Listeria floridensis. Its description in RNAcentral is "T-box sequence". It matches the Rfam family "T-box leader". Rfam says of the family: Uncharged tRNA acts as the effector for transcription antitermination of genes in the T-box leader family. Lineage: Bacteria; Bacillati; Bacillota; Bacilli; Caryophanales; Listeriaceae. The record is from RNAcentral.